RNAcentral lists this ribosomal RNA (472 nucleotides) under uncultured organism. RNAcentral describes it as "partial 16S ribosomal RNA". It matches the Rfam family "Bacterial small subunit ribosomal RNA", at positions 332 to 796 of the family's 1533-position model. The record is from RNAcentral.
UACACUCCUGCGGUAGGCAGCAGUGGGGAAUAUUGCACAAUGGGCGCAAGCCUGAUGCAGCCAUGCCGCGUGUAUGAAGAAGGCCUUCGGGUUGUAAAGUACUUUCAGCGGGGAGGAAGGCAAUACGGUUAAUAACCGUGUUGAUUGACGUUACCCGCAGAAGAAGCACCGGCUAACUCCGUGCCAGCAGCCGCGGUAAUACGGAGGGUGCAAGCGUUAAUCGGAAUUACUGGGCGUAAAGCGCACGCAGGCGGUCUGUCAAGUCGGAUGUGAAAUCCCCGGGCUCAACCUGGGAACUGCAUUCGAAACUGGCAGGCUUGAGUCUUGUAGAGGGGGGUAGAAUUCCAGGUGUAGCGGUGAAAUGCGUAGAGAUCUGGAGGAAUACCGGUGGCGAAGGCGGCCCCCUGGACAAAGACUGACGCUCAGGUGCGAAAGCGUGGGGAGCAAACAGGAUUAGAUACCCGUGUAGUCC